UGUUCCCUUUUAUGUAAGGCGCUUUGGAUAAAAGCGUCUGCUAAAUGACUUAAU
This is a non-coding RNA of Larimichthys crocea (large yellow croaker), 54 nucleotides long. Lineage: Eukaryota; Metazoa; Chordata; Actinopteri; Sciaenidae. The record is from Rfam.